AUGGUCUAGUUGGUUAUGACGACUGCCUAACACGCAGUAGGUCCCGAGUUCGAUUCUCGGUUCCAGUA
Molecule: transfer RNA, 68 nt
Filed under: Perkinsus olseni
Lineage: Eukaryota; Perkinsozoa; Perkinsida; Perkinsidae
Description: tRNA-Val
Rfam family: tRNA
About the family: Transfer RNA (tRNA) molecules are approximately 80 nucleotides in length. Their secondary structure includes four short double-helical elements and three loops (D, anti-codon, and T loops).
Source: RNAcentral